This 29521-nucleotide long non-coding RNA is filed under the name Elaeis guineensis (African oil palm). RNAcentral describes it as "long non-coding RNA (EGUI_LNC028572)". The record is from RNAcentral. Lineage: Eukaryota; Viridiplantae; Streptophyta; Magnoliopsida; Arecales; Arecaceae.
UGAUGGUGGUUCAUAUUGCAUGGUUGGUGAAGGGGCAGGUGCAGGAUAUAACAUUAAUGUUCCUUGGGAACAUGGACAGUGUGGUGAUGCAGACUAUUUAGCUGUCUGGGACCAUGUAUUGCUUCCUGUAGCUGAAUCUUACAAUCCUGACAUAAUAUUAAUUUCUGCUGGAUUUGAUGCAGGUUAUUUUCUUUUUUACUUUUUCAAAAUUUAUUCUCUCUCCUUGCAUGUGUGUAAAAUAUCCAUUUGGUUCAGGAUUUUGGACCAUCAUACUUGACAUACGAUGGAAAUUGUUUAUAUGAAAAGAUGUCUAUGAUCAAAGUUAAUCACAAAAUCGAUGAAUAACAUGUGUCUAUACAAAGAGAAAGUUCAUCAGGAUAUACUGUUCUAGAAUUGAUGUUGGAAGGACCAACAAAGCAGAUUUCUUGGACUCAUAAACAAAUUUUUCGUGGAAACUGUUUGCAAGUUUUAAGAUACUUUUAAGUAUCUGUGAUGUGUGGACAUGUUGGUCUUCCACUGGCAUGGUACUUGAGAUGCCAUAACAUGCUAGCAAAACUGCUGCACCGUGCCCAGAAAAAUGAAAAAAAAAGAUUUAUAAACUUUCUUUAAAUUUUCUGUGCUGGCCCAAACCUGGUUCCAGUACCAAUCCAGCAUGAAAACAUGCUGAUUGGCAGGCUAGCGCUUGAAACCAUGCUUUUACAAAACUGCCAGAUCAGCCCAUUUAGUUUGAGUGCGUGCAGGUCAAGAAGGUAUCUGCAUUACAUCUGGAUGCCUUUUGCAUAUGUCUGACUUUCUGAACCAAAUGUGCACUUACAUAGACUGGCUCACAUAGACCUGUUAGUAUUAGAAAGUCUAAUUCACCAGCAAGCUGAUUGCACAUUUGCAUAGUUUCAUAGUGUUAGGCCUAAUAUUUUGUUUCACAUGGUUUCAGCUUAGACUUUUCAGCAUCUCAUUUUAUUUCAAAUGGCAAAUGGUUUCUGUUGGAACAAUUAAAACAGAAAAAUUUAUUUGUGAAAUUUAUAAAUUCAGAUAGAUAUGAUUGAAAAUGUCCCGAACCAGAUGGUUUAGGGUGUGCCGAACCAGAUUGGUGGGGAACCGGGACAGUUUCGGCUUGAAAAACGGCACAUGCUGGUGCCGAGGGACAAAGAGAGGGAAAAAGAGGAAGAGAGAGAGAGAAGAGGAGAGGGAGAGAGACCACGAUGCCGUUGGAGGCCGUCGAUGGCCCAUUGUGGCCGUCGGAGGGCACGGAAGCCUCCGCGGCUCGGUUUGCCCAUUAGGGCUUUUAAAUAAGAGAGAGAGGGGGGGGGAGUGACUUACCGGAGGGAGGCGCAGUUGGCAGAGAGUUCGUCGGAGCUUGUUGGGUGGCUGCCAUGGCCACUAACCGAUGGAAACCAUGCAGGCGGAUUCACUGCUGCGGAACAGGGGCCACCACCCCUAUUCCUUUAUCGCAUUUUUUUAAAACGCAAUGAAUAGAGAAACCGGCAAUCAAUUUGCCGACUUCAUUAUUUUGAAUUUUUUUUAAGCAAGGCAAAAACAGUGAAGCUAGCAAUUGGUUUGCCAGCUUCACUUAAGUUGCCUGCUUCACAUUUUUUCAACUUUUUUAAAGAAAGUUCUUGUGAAAUAGGGCCCUGUUUCAUGCCCGCGGCACCGCACGCGUGGAUUGCGCUGUCCGGUGGUCAAUUGGCGGCCGUCCGGCGGCCCCUCCGACUCCUUCCCCUCCCUCCUUUUCUUUCUUCCUCCUCUCUCUAUUUCUCUCUCUUUCUCUAUUUUCCUCCUCCCGGUUUGCUUCCUUUCUCUGUGUCGAUUCGUGCCGGUCCGGUCCGGUAUGGACACGUACCGACCCAAACCGCCAGCUGGCCAGCAUGGGCUCCGGUGCCGAGUCCGCGAAUCUUGAUUGAAACAUAAUAAUUUUAAAUUAAAGAAUCAGAGAGUUUUAACUUUUAAGACAACUUCCUACAUAAGCUUUUCCAUUGUGAUGAGAGGAAUUCCUCAACUUGUUGGAUUAGUGCUUCAUUGGAUCAAUUGAGACAAUUAAUUUGAAAGUUAUACAUAUUUCCUCCAAUCAAUGCAAUACUAACUUGCUAAUGAUAUAAAGAUAGGCAGUCAUGCUUAUGGGUGGAAAUAUUUAUUAAGUCACUUGACAAAACAUGUCUUGGCCUCAUGGAUCUUUUUUCCUAGGAUUCUAACAAAAUGCAGGUGGUUUCAGUCAUUCCAAAUCAUGUUCUCACACUACUUUGGUGAUCUGUGAUCCUAAAGUGGGGGAAACCUGGGCCUAAAGAUGUAUCUACUUCUUUUGGCUUCCUAUUUUGGUUCAGCAGACAAAUAGGCUGAACAUUUCUGAAGCACUAACUUAAUGGACAAUUCAAAUCAUCUUAAGUUAGCAGCCAUUUGAAGGUGGAUCUCAAAGUCAUGUUGUUACCUUGUGAGACAUCCAUUAUUUAUUACUUUUUUCUGGCAGCAUCCAAGUGACUUGGUCAUCGUCAUUGAUCAUUAUCUUUGAGGGGAGAGAUGGAUAUUCGUUGAUACUUUAUCAAGCUUGCAGUGCUACUGGAAUUCUGCUAAUGAUGAUUGACUGUCAUCAUGAUAUUUUCUUUGAAUGUGCAUGCUUUGAUCAAAUUUACAUUGGUAACCAGCAAAUGGCCACUUUUGGUGAGUCAAACAGUCACGUAGCUACUGCAUGAGCUCCUUUUGCAAUCAUCCUGCAAAGUUCAAGCUCAUAUUUUGUUUACUGGUCAGAAGUCUCACUGAAUGCCAAUUAGAGGCACAUCCAAGGGUAUUGACAACCUAGCAGAUGAGAAGAUUUAAUUUCUUCUGCCCAUUAUCUUGACGAACCAACAUAACCCUCAUAUAGCAUUAUUGUUUUGUAAACCUUAUUCUUUGUUGCUGAUUUGCUGACAUCAAUUAAAAUUAACGUGUUGAAUGUAUAAAAUUUAUUUAUGUUUCUUCUUCGAAAGAAUUUGCUAAUAUGUUUUUUCAAUAGCUGUUCGUGAUCCACUUGGAGGUUGUUGUAUCACACCAUAUGGAUAUUCACUUAUGUUGAAAAAGGUGAGUACUUUCUACAGUCUUUGUUUCUUUGAUGAAAUUUUAAAAUGACCCAUUGAAAUUCCUUAACAAGUAUGAAAAUAUUUCAUCUUUGCCAUGAUAAAUUUCGUUAAAUCAUAUUAAUUCUUUAUCUGUAUUAUGUCAAUCUUUUCAUUGCUGCUUCUUAUCUCAAAACAAAAAAAAAGGACUGCUACUUCAUGUUUAUUUCAACCAUUCCUAGAAGCAUCUCUCAUGUAUCUAAUAUUGCCAUGUCUUCAUAUGCACUGUCUUACAGAGUCCAACUUGAGUACUAUAUAAACUGUUUGUCUGAACUUUACUAUUAACAUUUGCUGCACUUACUUUUUAAGCUGAUGGGAUUUGCUCAAGGAAAGAUAGUGAUGACACUGGAAGGAGGUUACAAUCUUAAUUCUAUAGCAAAUUCAGUUCUUGCUUGUGCAAAAGUUUUAUUGGAAGAAAAACCCUUAGUUGGAUCCAUAGAGGUGCAACCUUUUGAGUCUACAUGGCGUGUCAUACAAGAGGUGUGUUGUUUGUCAAUCCCAUUUCAUACAUUUCAGUUGGUUUUAUCUACUUACUGAGAGAUCUGCCCUUUCUGAUGUGGUCCUCCUUAUCCAGGUUCGACAUGAACUAAAGACAUUCUGGCCAGCAUUGGCUGUUGAGUUACCACAGAAUGUUUUGGCUAGCAACGGUAGACCUUGCCCAGUUGAGGUACAGAAAUUUCCUUUUAAUUUCUUCCAGUUUUUUGUUAACUUGAGCCAAGCCAUAAUGGACUCUGUAGAGCUCAUCAUGUCUAAUAUAUCAACUUUGGAUUGUUGACCCUUUUGUGGAUUAAUAAUGUGUUUGGCUUUCAUUAUAAUAAAUAAUAGAAAACAAUGGCUUCAAAACCAUCUAAGUGGUUGUGAUUUUUAAUGCUGUCAUCUCCCGCUGCAGCCCAAGACAUUUUGAUAUUCUUAUGAACUAUGAGGUAUUGGUUGUCAAAACUAAAUUUUCAAAAAAUUUGUAGCCCCCAUAUUUAAAAAUAAGCUUGUUAUUUUUUGGAUGGAUUUAUCCUCAAAUUGUAUUUUGAUGGAUUGUGAAUUACAUUUCUUUAAUUUGUGGAAACAUGUGUCAAGAUUUUGUUCAUCGUGAAUAUUAUGCUUUUUAAAAUGUUAAAGUUGAAGUGUUUGUUCCUUUUUCUAUGUUAAAGAGUAUACUUCUCAAUAGAAUGCUAUUGAAAAUAACUAGCAUGAAGAAUUCCUACAAUCUCUUUUAUAGCACCUAUCUCUCUGAGCAUUAUCAGGUUUCUUUUCAUGCCUAUGCAUCCAAGUGUUGGUGCAGUUGCAAACAAUAUGCAUACCAUGAUGGCCCUUGAUCAACAUGGGCAUGACAUUUGACAUUUUCAUUACUAGUGUCAAUGGGUUGAGUUGGGUUCGCUUUGGGUCAAGUCAAGCCAAGUUCGAGUCAAAACACACCCAAGCCAUACCCAAUGCUUUUGAAAGUGUAAAAUUCUAAACCCAUACCUAACCUUGGGAUCUCACCCAAAAAAGCUAGCCAAAAUAUGUUAUUUGGGUUCCUCGGCCCUGUAGUAUAGGUAGUGAAGUUCUAUCCAGUGCAUAGUUGAUAUAGGAAUUAAAUGCACGCCUGCAUAGUUCCUUGCAAACAACCACCCAUCAAACCAUUUACUUUUUACUUAGCAAUUGUAUGACUGAAAAAAUAAAGCAAAACAUGGAAUGCAAAGAUCACAAACAAUAAAAUCAAAUUAAAUUCAAAGAUAUCAUCAUAAUCUCAAUAAGUAUAGGAAUUUUACCUACAAACAAUAAAUUUAGGAAUGCACAAAAUAUGAUAGUUAUAAACUAAGGAUAAAAAGUAGCUAAGAUGCAAACUCACAUCCCAAAACCUUGCGGCUUGGGAGUUGACCGGUUUCCAACUGAUUCGCUCAUGGCGAGUAAUUGUGUUUCGAGUGGCUACAUUUGUACGUACAUCUUUAUAACCAGGUGAUUUUGAAUUGACCUAGAAUAGGUUGACUUUUACAAUUAGGUAUGUUUGGAUAUGUUGGUCGGGUCAGAUUUUGCUCCCUUUAUUGGUCGGGGACCGAAGACCUCUUCGGUCUUGCCAACAAGUUCCGCCUUGGAAGACCAUUGAGUGGCCUAUGACUUGUUUCGGGGCUUUCUCCUUCCAACAGACGUCGAAAUGUUGUAGGGCCAGAGUUUAGACAUCCAGCAAAAAGGUGCCAUUGAUUCUUUCAUCCGAGCAAGUUUCUUUGACUUGCUUUCCCUUCUGCAUAUUUUCAACAGUUGACUUGCUUGCCUCCACAGCUUGGUCAUUAUAUCAUCAGUUUUACCAAUUCCAUAGAGAUGGCAAGGUUGGAGGUUGCCGAUGCCCUUAUCGAGGCUAAGACCUUCCGAACAAAGGUUGAUAAGGUCGAAGUUGAGGCAAAGCAGCUUAAAGAGGCACUAAAAAAAGCUGAGGCUGCAUAGGCAGUGACUGAGGCAGUGCGAGUGGCGGCCGAGGCUGCGCGAGUGAAGGGUGAAGCUGACUUUCUGGAGGAGAAGAAGAGGCGUUGAGCGGCCUAGGAAGAGGUUCCUGAGGCUGAGAAGAAAAUAAAAAGCCAAGUCAUUGAGGCUGGUUGGCUGGCGGUUGAGGCAUUCCGCGCCUCUCAGGAGUUCACUAAGGAGAAGGUCGAGUUCGUCGAGGAGAUUUUCUUCAUCGGGCAAGAUAUGAUCCACCAAAAAAUAGCCGCACGCUUUCCCAAGUUGGACUUAUCCUUUUUGGAUGAAGACGAGGCUAGCAAAGACCAACCCUCGAUCGAGCCAAUGAUCGAGGGGUAGUCUCGACUAGAGCCUAUGACCGUCGAGAAAAUUUAGCUUUAGUUGGAGCCCGUAGUCACCGAGGAAGCCUCUGGAGUAGUGGCUGUUCCUGCGAACUCAAAAGUUUCACAGCCCGAGGUUGUUUAAUGCCUCUGCUGAGGCUUCGAUUUUGUAAUCUUUUAUCUUCUUGUUUCGCCUAGCAUAUCAUGUAAAAAUGAACUUUUUAUUCAAUAAAAGAACUUUUUUUCUUUACCUCUGAGGCUUUUUCCUGAUAUUUGUCGUGUCCAUUUUCGCAUAGUCUAGCCAGUGUGGGCUUUGUGGAUGUACGGUUAUUUGCCAUCGCGCUGAGCCCUUACUGAGGGCCAUGGCUAUGUUUAUUAGUGCCCGAAUUGAGGCUCUUGAAAAAGAGGCUCGUGAGGCUAAGAAGAGGGCUACUAAAAUGGAGCAAAGGGCCUUAGAGAGGGAGAAGACUUGCACUAGGCCCUCACGGAAGUAAAGCAUUUGAGGGAGAACAUCAGGCAGACGGACCCGUCGUAUGCCUCGAAAAAGAAACAGUUGGCCAAAGCUUGCGUGAAGUCAAGAAAGGCUGUUGAGGAAGUGAAGUGGGUUGUCAUUGAGAGAAGUGAUGGCAAUGGGUAGGGUUUGGGUCGGGUAGUAUACUACCCAUCUCCAAACCCGAACUUAAUACCCUAUACCCAAACCCUACCCGAUACCCAAUCGGGUAAGAAAAGAGAUACCCAUCCCCAUACCCAACAGGNNNNNNNNNNNNNNNNNNNNNNNNNNNNNNNNNNNNNNNNNNNNNNNNNNNNNNNNNNNNNNNNNNNNNNNNNNNNNNNNNNNNNNNNNNNNNNNNNNNNNNNNNNNNNNNNNNNNNNNNNNNNNNNNNNNNNNNNNNNNNNNNNNNNNNNNNNNNNNNNNNNNNNNNNNNNNNNNNNNNNNNNNNNNNNNNNNNNNNNNNNNNNNNNNNNNNNNNNNNNNNNNNNNNNNNNNNNNNNNNNNNNNNNNNNNNNNNNNNNNNNNNNNNNNNNNNNNNNNNNNNNNNNNNNNNNNNNNNNNNNNNNNNNNNNNNNNNNNNNNNNNNNNNNNNNNNNNNNNNNNNNNNNNNNNNNNNNNNNNNNNNNNNNNNNNNNNNNNNNNNNNNNNNNNNNNNNNNNNNNNNNNNNNNNNNNNNNNNNNNNNNNNNNNNNNNNNNNNNNNNNNNNNNUUUGACCGGGUUCGGGUAGGGUGUAUACCCAUCGGGUCGGAUUAAUUUUGCCAUCCAUAGAGAGAACCGCGUGACUCCGCAACGAACUUCACUUGUCUCAGGAGAGGGUUACCGCCCUAGAACACCUUAUGGAUUUGUGUAAGGUAGUGGAAGAAGCGAGAUGGAAUAGGAAGAGAAAGGGAUCAGGAGAAGAAGGGAGGGAAGAAGGGGGGGGCAGAGGGCUCGCAAGCCUUCUUGGCACGUCAGAAGGGCGUUUCCCUCUUUUGUUUUGAAAGAGGAGAUGCAUUGUAAUUUGUUUUGAAUAUUUCGAAUUGAAGUUGGCAAACAAUUUACCAACUUCAAUUCAAAAUCAGCAAACAAUUGAAAUUGGCAAAAUCAAGUCAGCAAACAAUCGGUUGACUUGAGUUCGAAAUAUAUAUUUUUUUAAAAAGAACAGUACAUUUUGGAAUGGCAUGGUACAGAUCCGUAUCAUACCAUGCCAGGCAUCAACUAGUACAAUCUCCGCAACUGGUUCGGUGAACCUACUACCAAGUGAACUAUCUUUUCAACCCAUAUGCAACUUGAUGACAUAUAAUAGCCGCAUAUAGGGUAUGCGGUGUAAUAAGACUACAUAAGCAUGUACGGCUUCAUAUGCAGCCAUAUGCACUGCAUUUUAAAACAGUCCCUUAUCAACGCUUCUGUGAUGUUGCAUCAUGUUGAAUGGCAUUAUUUUCACCUAAGUUAUUAAAUUCCCUCUUUUUUUAUCUAGGUAGCAAUCUCAAUUCUGUUGUGUAAUUGUAGUGGGAAAUUGUUGGGUUUGACAUUAUCAAAAGGGCAUUGUUGGCCCUAAGUUUCCAUUCUCUCCUCAUGUUUCCGCAUUCAAAUAUAUUCUCUUUGUUUUUGAGAGCAUAUGAACUAAAGGAAAUGCAAUGGUUUGUUUAUCAAUAGCAAUGGCGGAGUUAGGUAUCUAGUUGAGGUUUGGGAGUAAAGGGGGGGGGGAGAGAGGGCGGGUGAUGAUGCCUUAAUAAUUUCUCGUAAAUGUUCUAAUAAAUUUAUAAAUAAUAUUUUUAGCUGGAUAUUUUGAAGUUUCAAAAUAAUCACCCUAGUUUUUAAAUGAUGACUAUGACAUCCUAUUUACAACUACUAGUUUGCAUGAAGGAAACAAGAAAAGUAAAAAAAUGAAAUAAAAUGACCAUGGUACCCCUUAGAAACAAAAAAAGGAGAAAAGAUGGAAAAAAAUAACCACGAUACUCCUUGCUCUUUAUAAUAUGCCCAAAGCAUAGAAGUUAAGAACAAAAAUUAGACAUGAAUGAAAAAUAUCAAGCAAGAACUAAAAAUAUAAUAAACUUUUUCAUCUUCUUCAAUCAAAAUUUUAAAAUCAAAUUCUGAAAAUAUGUACUUAGAAACUGAUGUGAAUAGAAAGCAUCAUAUACUAUGCUUCUUUUCUAUGUAAAAAAGAAAAACAAUGAAGUUUUAUCUGAAUAAAAAGUAGAAAGCUAAAAUCAGAGUUUCCUAAAGCAAAACUGUGACACCCGAUCCAUUUGGGCCUUGGACUAGGCCUAAAAAUCUAGAAGCCCAAAGCCCAUAUAUAUAAAAAAAAACCAGAACGGGAUCUCCGAUGAAUCCCGAACAGAAUGGAAGUCCUAGGACCACCAGGAUCCUAGGGCUCUCUAUAAACAGGCCUCCCCCUCCCUCAAGACCCUCCACCGGCGAUAUUCGAGCUAGAUUCCUCCUCUUUUCUUCGUUGAAAGCCGCGGCCUCUUCUUUUUGUGUUCAUCGAAAAUCGAAGGUCGGAGAUGCCAUCGGAGCUCAGGUAAGGCUCCAAUUUUUCUUCCUCACCCUCUUUCCUUUCUCCUCAUGGCUUUAGACCCUCGCCGACCAUCGGGAUCGCUAGAAAAUCCAUGAAAAGGGUGAACCCCUGUUCGAUCGGGCCACCUUUCUUUUUCAGCCACCGACGCCUCCGGUUGCGGCGUCUUACCCCUAGGAUAGGAUCCUUGUCCCUUUAUCUCUCUUCUCUGAAGGUAUUGGCCAUCGGUGACCGGCCAAUGAUCGAAAAAUAAAAGAAAAAUGACGGUACCUUGUUUUUUCGAUUUUUUUUGAUUUCUUGCCGGUCGAACAUUGCCGUCGACCAUCCCUUGCCUCACCGCCAUCGACCGUCACUGUCGGACAUCCGACCAAGCCGCCGCCCCUCGUCGAAGCCAAGCCACUGAGUUUCCCUUGGUCCAUCCUCUGUUCGGUCGGGAAGAGAAANNNNNNNNNNNNNNNNNNNNNNNNNNNNNNNNNNNNNNNNNNNNNNNNNNNNNNNNNNNNNNNNNNNNNNNNNNNNNNNNNNNNNNNNNNNNNNNNNNNNNNNNNNNNNNNNNNNNNNNNNNNNNNNNNNNNNNNNNNNNNNNNNNNNNNNNNNNNNNNNNNNNNNNNNNNNNNNNNNNNNNNNNNNNNNNNNNNNNNNNNNNNNNNNNNNNNNNNNNNNNNNNNNNNNNNNNNNNNNNNNNNNNNNNNNNNNNNNNNNNNNNNNNNNNNNNNNNNNNNNNNNNNNNNNNNNNNNNNNNNNNNNNNNNNNNNNNNNNNNNNNNNNNNNNNNNNNNNNNNNNNNNNNNNNNNNNNNNNNNNNNNNNNNNNNNNNNNNNNNNNNNNNNNNNNNNNNNNNNNNNNCACCUUGAUAUGAUCUUUGAUAAUCUCGAUCAUGAUUGCCUCGUCUGAAGGAUACAAAGAUUCUCUCUUUAUUUUCUCUCUCUAAAAUUUUCUCUCUUCAUGAAUUUUCUCUUUCUAGAAGUCUUGUGGACCAAUGGAGGGUCUAAAUACUUAAACAAAUCCCAAUUUUGGCUAAUCCUAGGAGAGAUCCUGGAUUUAUGUUAUUAGGAUCGUUUAUCCGUAAUUUUUUCAUAUAUGAUUUUAUAUUUAAUUCUGAUCGUGUAGAGAUGUAAUUAUUGUACAAGAAGAUAUGGAAUAAAAUAUCUUGAUUUCAGAUACGUAGAUUGAGGAGCUCAUCAAUUUCUGUAUUUAGAUCAGUCAUCGAUAAAGCUAAGAAUCCCUGUACAUGAUCACUAUUAUAUAUGCUAUUUUACCAUUAGUCUUGCAUCAUUGGUUUUGCAUCGUUGGAUUUGAGAUCGAUGAAUUUGCUAUAUCCGAGAUACCGUUAUUUGCUUAUAUGAUUUUUGAGCAUGAGUACAUUAGUCAAUAUAUAUAUAUCAGUAAUUGAUGGCACUAUUAUAUGGAUAUGAUAUAUCUAAUUGAUCACAGUGUAAAUCGAAAUUGAUUUGGUGAAAUCAACAUAUAAUGAUUAAAUAAAAAAGAGAUAUGAUUUGGACUAGCCUUAUCAUGUGGAACAGUCCGUCAGGAGCUUAUGCUUGGGACAGCCCAUCAGAAGUUUGUGCCUGGGACAACCCUCACUAACUUAUAUGUGGAUCAGCCGGUCAGGAGCUCAUGCCUGGGACAGCUCGUCAGGAACUUAUGUCUGGAACAGUCUCCCACAGGCUUUUGUACGUGGGACAGCCAGUCAGGAGCUCAUCCUGGGACAGCCUUGAAAGGCUUUUGAGUGAAAAUUUAUUCAGAUGGUGACUAAAGUAUAGACUUGGUUAGUCCAAAGCCAGAAAAAAAGGUUAAAAAUCAUGUGAGAAAUGAAAGAUAAGACAUGAAACAAUUGUUGAACAAAAAUAUUUCACCUGUUAACAUAUGAUGAUGCAUUUCUUUUGACAAGACAAAUAAUUUAUAGAUAUUUACAGUAUUCUGGAUAUUGAACAUGGAAUUUUAUAUUUUAUUGCUUAUUCUUAUUUUCAGAUUAUAUUAUUAUAUUGGUAUGAUAUGGAAAUUCUUACUGGACUGUAAAGCUCACAUUCUUUUAUUUUUUUUUCUUCUUAGAGUUAUAGGAUGCUCAUGGUUGGCUAUGGUUUGGAUUUGCGGGUGAGCAGAUGUAUAGAUAGAAUGUCAUGAUACCUGAUCAGAGGAUUGAAGAAAUUUUAUUUGUAAUUAUAUAAGUUUUACUAAUUAUUAUUGGAAUCAGAUAUUAUGGAUGUUGAGGUUGUAAUGAAUUACUUUUGGUUUUGCAUAUUUCUUAGGGCUUGCUCUAAGGAGUGUGCGGCCAUCACGUAUCCGAUCCGAAUGUUGGGUUCGGAGCGUGACAAAAUGGUAUCAGAGCCAGGUUAUGAUCAUUUGGGGACUAUGAUAUAAAUGAGUAGAGUAUGAUAAAUAAUAUCAGAGUUUAAGGUUAUGAUCAUUAAGUAUGUGAUAGAAUGAUAUUAGAGUUUAGGUUAUGAUCACUAGAGAAUAUGACUUAAGUGGUAUUUGAGUUUAAGGUUAUAAUUAUUCAGGAUUGUGACUUUAGUGAUAUUUAAACUUAGGUUAUGAUCAUAAGGAACAUGAUAGAUAUAAAAGAAAAGAUUCAAUAUUUGGAUUUUGAAUCAAUAGAUGCUAUGAUGAAAUUUAUGUAUAAGUGGCAUAUGAUGUCUAUAAUAAAAUUGACGAGUUAUAUCUUGGAUUUCAAUUAGUAGGGUGACCUGAAUAUAAGAAGAGUUGACCCUGGAAGGAAGUGGGAGGUAUUGAUAUGUUAUGUUGAGUAUACUCGAUGAUUUUGGAAUGCUAAACUUAUAUGGUUGAAGAUCAUGAUAACUUUUCUAAUUUCGAUGAUAAUUGUUUGAGCAUUAUAAAUUUUGGACUUAUCAAAAGAAAGUUAAUUAGGGUAUGGUCUAAGAAGAAAUUACAUCAUAUGAGAGAGAAAUAUUUUUGAGCAUUGAACCUAUAAGAGGUCAUAUAUGAAACUCAAUUUUAGAUGAAAAAUAUACUUAAAUUUUAUUAUGAGAAUAUGAGAUACACAUCUUGGUGGAAUCUUUGGUUAUUCAAAAUAUCAUAUUUGGAUGUGAUUGUUUUGAUCUUUUAAAUUGCAUUGAAUUUCAAGUCAAAAGUUUGCUUUUCUAAGUGGAUCUAAAGAAUUUUGAUGAUUCGAAUAAGAAAUUGGUUUUGUGAGAGUAUGAUAUAUAGGUUAUGAUGAAAUCUGUAAUAAUUUGUAUUUCCAUCUUUGGAUUAGAUUUCUUUUUUUUUUCUUGUGAUUAUUGAAGAUUGUGGACUGUAAUUCAAGUCAGAAUUCGGAUUUUUGAGUUGAACUAAGAUAUUUUGUUAUUGUUAAAUUUUGAAUAACUUAUAUAAGGGACAAGAAUUUGUAUGGAUUUAUCUAUUGAUGCUAAGGGUUGUGAUGAAGGGAGCUUUACAAGAAAUAACUAAGUUGAUUCUACUUACAAAGAUGUUGACUUGAGUUCUAGUUUGUUGAAGUUGGAGUUAAUUCUUUUGCAAAGAAAAGUUGGUUUGGAAGUUGUCUAAAUGAUUGUAAGGUAAAUCGAUGGUUAACUCAAAUUAAUUUUUGAUAUAUUGGAUUCUUGAGUAGUGAUGAAGCUUAUGUAAUAAGUUCAAACAUAGAAGGUGGAUGAAGAUUUAAUUUUGUUAUGUUAUGCCUAAGAGAUAGUAAUGACAAGAAAACUUAAAAUUUUGUCCUAAGUUUUAUAUGAAAUUUGAAAGUUGGAUCUAUCUUUGAUUGAUCUAACAUACAAAGAUAUUCUUAUCUUUUGAUAAAUCUAUAUAAUUUGGUAAAUUAAGAUCAGAGUGCGUAGCAAAAGCGUGGUGGUUUAAAUUGAUUAAAAAUAUUAAUGUUUUAAAUCAAAAGAUAUUAUGAAAUAUAUUAAUUAUAAAUAAGGAAGGAUUUUAUUGAUAAUGAAAGGAUGUUGCAGAUCUUGAUUUUCAUCAGAUUAUAGUCGGGUAAUUUUUGCUAGUAGGUUAUUUCAUUGCAGAUAAUACCAAGAAGAAUCUUAGAUAUUUCAAGUAUAUUGUUAAUAGCUUGAUAGUUCUGUUAUUAGUCCAAAAUGUUACGGUUCUUCGAAAAAGUUGAGAAAUCAAUAAGAAGGGAUGAGUUUGAGAUUUCAAAUAAUUUUUGUUAUAAUAAGAUCGGGAGAAAUAAAUAAUAUGUAAGAUAUUAUUGGAAGCGUGAGAAUGUCAUGAUGCAUGUAUAUAUAUAUAUUUUUAGAAUAUAUCUGAAACAAUAUAACUUAAUUUCGAGGACGAAAUUAUUUGAAGGGGGGAGAAUGUGACACCCAGCCCAUUUGGGCCUUGGACCAGGCCUAAAGAUCUAAAAGCCCAAAGCCCAUACAAAAAAAAACAGAACGGGAAGAAGACUCCCGAUAGGGGUCUUCUUCUCCGAUGAAUCCUGAACAGAAUGGAAGUCCUAGGACCAUCGGGGCCCCAGGCUCUCUAUAAACAGGCCUCCCCCUCCCUCAAGACCCUCCAUCGGUGAUAUUCGAGCUAGAUUCCUCCUCUUUUCUCCAUUAAAAGCCGCGGCCUCCUCUUUUUGUGUUCAUCGAAAAUCGAAGGUCGGAGAUGCUAUCGGAGCUCAGGUAAGACUCCAAUUUUUCUUCCUCACCCUCUUUCCUCUCUCCAUGGCUUUAGACCCUCACCGGCCAUCGAGAUCGCCAGAAAAUCCAUGAAAAGGGUGAACCCCUAUUCGGUCGGGCCACCUUCCUUUCUUUUUUGGCCACCAGUGCCGUCGGUUGCGGCGUCUCACCCCUAAGAUAGGACCUUCGUCCCUUUAUCUUUUUUUUCUGAAGGUAUUGGCCGUCGGUGACCAGCCAAUGAUCGAAAAAUAAAAGAAAAACAGCGGUACUCUAUUUUUUCGAUUUUUCUUGAUUUCUUGCCUGCCGAACCUUGCCGCUGUGCAUCCCUUGCCUCACCGCCAUCGACCGUCACUGUCGGACAUCCGGCCAAGCCGUCGCCCCUCGUCGGAGACAAGCCACCGAGUCCCCUUGGACCAUCCUCAGUUCGACUGGGAAGAGAAAGAAGCAAAGAAAAAGAAAAGAAGAAAAGAAAAAAAAGAAAAGAAGAAAAAAAAAUAGAAAAAAAAGAAGAAAAAAUAGAAAAAAAAGAAUAAGAGAAUUUUCUCUCCUCUCCUUUCUUUCUCUCUCUUUCCUCUCUCCUCUCUCUGCCUUCUCUCUCCACUUUCUUUCUGUAGAUUAUCUUUACUUUCUCUCUCUAGAAUUUUCUCUCUCUAGGGUCAUUCUCUCUCUUUGAUUGCAUCACAGAUCUUAGAAUAAAUUUGAGAUGAAAAUAUGAUGAUUUGAGAUUGUUCCAAAAUUCGUGCAGUAGAUUGGAUCCCAGCUUUGUUCUUAUUCAAAAUUUAUAACAUCGAUUAUAGUUAAUCCAUAUUGAGUCACCUUGAUAUGAUCUCUGAUAAUCUCGAUCAUGANNNNNNNNNNNNNNNNNNNNNNNNNNNNNNNNNNNNNNNNNNNNNNNNNNNNNNNNNNNNNNNNNNNNNNNNNNNNNNNNNNNNNNNNNNNNNNNNNNNNNNNNNNNNNNNNNNNNNNNNNNNNNNNNNNNNNNNNNNNNNNNNNNNNNNNNNNNNNNNNNNNNNNNNNNNNNNNNNNNNNNNNNNNNNNNNNNNNNNNNNNNNNNNNNNNNNNNNNNNNNNNNNNNNNNNNNNNNNNNNNNNNNNNNNNNNNNNNNNNNNNNNNNNNNNNNNNNNNNNNNNNNNNNNNNNNNNNNNNNNNNNNNNNNNNNNNNNNNNNNNNNNNNNNNNNNNNNNNNNNNNNNNNNNNNNNNNNNNNNNNNNNNNNNNNNNNNNNNNNNNNNNNNNNNNNNNNNNNNNNNNNNNNNNNNNNNNNNNNNNNNNNNNNNNNNNNNNNNNNNNNNNNNNNNUUAUCUCAUCUGAAGGAUAUAAAGAUUUUCUCUCUCUAAAAUUUUUUUCUUCAUGAAUUUUCUUUUUCUAAAAAUCUUGUGGACCAAUAGAGGGUCCAGAUACUUAGACAAAUCCCAAUUUUGGCUAAUCCUAGGAGAGAUCCUGGAUUUAUGUUAUUAGGAUCGUUUAUCCGUAAUUUCUUCAUAUGUGAUCUUAUAUUUAAUCCUGAUCAUGUAGAGAUGUAAUUAUUGUACAAGAAGAUAUGGAGCAAAAUAUCUUGAUUUCGGAUACGUAGAUUGAGGAGCUCAUCAAUUUCUGUAUUUAGAUCAGUCAUUGAUAAAGAUAAGAAUUCCUGUAUAUGAUCAUUAUUAUAUAUGCUAUUUUACCUUUGGCCUUGCAUCAUUGGUUUUGCAUCGUUGGAUUUGAGAUCGAUGAAUUUGCUAUAUCCGAGAUAUCGUUAUUUGCUUAUAUGAUUUUUAAGCAUGAGUAUAUUAUGUCAAUAUAUAUAUAUAUCAGUGAUUGAUGGCAUGAUUAUAUGGAUAUGACAUAUCUAAUUUGAUCACAGUGUAAAUCGAAAUUGAUUUGGUGAAAUCAACAUAUAAUGAUUAAAUGAAAAAAAGAUAUGGUUUGGACUAGUCUUGUCAUGUGGAACAGCCCGUCAGAAGCUUAUGCCUGGGAUAGUCUGCCAGGAGCUUAUGCCUUGGACAGCCCCCACUGGCUUAUAUGUGGAUCAGUUGGCCAGGAGCUCAUGCCUGGGACAGCCCGCCAGGAGCUUAUGCCUGGGACAGCCCCCCACGGACUUUCGUACAUGGGACAGCCGAUCAGGAGCUCAUCCUGGGACAGCCUUGAAAGGCUUUUGAGUGAAAAUUUGUUCGGAUGGUGACUGAAGUAUAAACUUGAAUAGUCCAAAGCCAGAAAGAAAAGGUUCAAAAUCAUGUGAUUAUGAAAAAAGAAAUGAAAGAUGAGACAUGAAACAAUUGUUGAACAAAAAUAUUUCAGCUGUUAACAUAUGAUGAUGUAUUUUUUUUGACAAGACAGAUAAUUUAUAGAUAUUUGCAGUAUUCUAGAUAUUGAAUAUGAAAUUUUAUAUUUUAUUGCUUAUCCUUAUUUUUAGAUUAUAUUAUUAUAUUGGUGUGAUAUGAAAAUUCUUUCUGGGCUGUAAAGCUCACACCCCUUUAUUUUUCUUUUUUUUUCUGAGUUACAGGAUGCUCAUGGUUGGCUAUGGUUUAAAUUUGCGGGUGAGCAGAUGUAUAAAUAGAGUGUCAUGAUAUCUGAUCAGAGAAUUGAAGAAAUUUUAUUUGUAAUUAUAUAAGUUUUACUAAUUAUUAUUAGAAUCAGAUAUUAUGGAUGUUGAGAUUGUAAUGAAUUAUUUUUGGCCUUGCAUAUUCUUUAGGGCUUGUUCUAAGGAGUAUGCAGCCAUCACGUAUUCGGCCCGGGUGUUGGGUUCGGGGCGUGACAAAAAUAAAAUAGAACAUUUUGCUAGAAGUAGAAAGCAGAGACUAUUUUAUAAGAAAGGGAGAAAAUGAAAAUGUGAGAAUUAAUGGAUACUUUUAUUCUUGCUUUUCCCACUUAUCCUUUUAUUCUUAUACCUUAUCCUUUGUGAGAGAUUUUUCCACAACAAAUUGAAAAUGUUCCCAUCAUGGUUUGCCGAACCAUCCCGAACUAGGCAGUUCGGGGUAUUUUGACCCACACUGGCCGCAAACUAGGAUGGUUCGGCCUUCCAAGUCAGAACACCGGACGAGGGAGAGGGAAAGUGAGGGAAAGAGUGGAAAAGAGAGAGAGGAGGGGAGGGAAAGAGAGCUAGUGGCAGCUCAUUGAGGCUGUUGGAGGGCCGCAGAGGCCUUCGUGGCUCCAUGUCGCCUGAUAGGACGUUUAAUCGAGAGAGAAAGAGAGAGAGGGGACCGGAGGGAGGCGAUUUAAUGGAGGAAGCGGAGGCCUUGGCAGCCCUUUGAGUGCGCCCACAGUCCGCUUGUAGCCAUUAUCGGUAUCUCCUCCGACCAUCCUCUCUCUCUCUUUCCUCUUCUCUCUCUCCCUCUCCUCUCUCUCUUUUCCUCCUCUCUGAUUCCUUUUUUCGCUUCUAUGUUGGUGUGCACUAGUCUGAUCUAGUACGAAUCCAUAUCGACUCGUACUACUUACCAGCUAGCAUAGGUCCUGGUACAGGUUCUGCGGACCUUGGUUCUCAUAAUGUUAUGCAGAUUUUUAGGGAAGGUUUCCUUUUGGAGUUGGACUCUGCUCAAAUGCCUGGGAAAUGGAUGGAUGAUAUUAUAUUUGGUGCGCUGUUAGUUCCCACAGUAUAUAGCAAGUGGAAUCCAAGGUACACAAAUUUUAGGAGGGGGAAAUCACACUAUAUGAGAAGGGGAAUAUAAAGAUUUCAGAGAUGUUGGAGGAGGAAGUUGGCCCCUCCUGCCUCUGUUGUUGGUCAAUGGCAGCUUGCAUUUGCUCACAAACUGUUUGUCCCAUAUGAAAUAAACAUUCGGUUACAAUAUGUACCUGAAUUCAAGGUUAAAUGUUGGUGAUGCCUUGAAGUUUAAGUAACUGUAGCUAUUAUUUGUAACUUCCAUAUAAACCUUUUACUUGCACUUGUGACUUUAUAUUGUUACACUUCCAGCUAAACUUGAGCUCUAGCUCUGAGUCUGAUUUGGGGAGUGAUGGGGAAGCUUCCAGCACUGUAUGUUCCUCAAAAUUUGUUGAGAUUAUUGAGCCCCUUUCGAAGUUGAAUAUUGAUGAAGAUAAUCAAGGGAAAGCGAUUGUCUCAAACCACAGUCCAGCUGAGCAAACUCCUGUUAUUUCAUCAGAAGAAUGUCGUAAUGCACAAGCAUUGGUGCCUGAUAACAGUGUUGAUGGUUGUAUUUCUUGGAGAUCAGUUUUAUCAAAUAUUGAAGUUUGGUAUGCCAGCUAUGGAUCAAAUAUGUGGAAACCAAGGUUUCUCUGCUACAUUGAAGGUGGAAAGGUAUGAUGCUUGUCAUAUUAGCAGCCAAAGAAAUUCCUAAUAAUAACAUGAUUGCAAAGCACUCUUUGCUUCAAAAAAAUUCAUACUGCCAAAUGCCAAUGUUUGUUUUUUUGUGCUCAUUAUGUUGUGUUUUUUCAUUGUAUUUUUGAAUAUUAUGUUACUUUUUUUUUCAUGUUCUUGCUACAACCUUCGCUGGUCUUGUAGGUUUUGGUACUGACUUAUGUAACAACCAAAAAUAUUGCCUAGUAAUUGAAGAAGUUUGACCUUUUCUAAGUGAUUGCCAUUUAUGUGAGGUUAUCCCUUUAUUUAAACAGAUCUAGUGGCGAUAAUUUUUUUUUUUAUCUUAGUCAUUGAUUUGAUGCCAAGGUUUGAUGGCUCUGGUGUCGAUUAAGCCCGUAAAAUUCCAGUUUUGGCAAUUUAACUCAAGUUAAGUUUCCUUAAAAUAAAUGGGAAAUUAAAAAAAAAAUAGAAGUGAACAGGAGAGGUGAAGAAACAUUAUUACACAGCAAUUAAGUAAUUUGUGUUACAUAGGUGCUAUAGUUGCAUAGUAUCGAUAGAUUUAGGCUAAAGUUAAUGAUGUAUUUAGAAGAACUUCAUAAAACAUGGUGGUAUGAUUUUUAGUAGGCAUACAUAUUAUUUGCUUAUUGAACUUUGAUUUCUUGAAAAUUUAUUAUUAGCGAAUGUGAAGCUUUUUGUCACAUGGGUCUUCCCAUCUUUUGUCAGAGAAAGAAGGUGAAUCUUUUCAAUGCUUAAUGUGCUCAAGUCCUUUUCUUCAUUGAUUUUAGCCAGGCUCACAAAAACUUUAAAUUCAGGCAUUUCUUUCUUGUAUUAUUCAGAUUACGUGGAAAUGAAUUCAGUUAUAGUUUUUUUUUUAGUUAUAGGAAUGAUGAUCUCACAUGAGUCCUUAUAAAGUACUAAAAUAGGGGCCUCCUAGGAGACCCCGGCAUAUCAAUAGCUAUAUUUGUCAUCUACAAGUUUUUUUUUCUUUAUUUACUCAAGAUAGAAGAAUGAAAAAUUAGGGCUGAAACCUGAUCGGAUACCGGCAUAUCCAUAUCCAUAUCCAUAUUUAUUUAUAUGGAUACGAAUAGAGAUAGUAGUCGAAUGCAAAAAUGCAUAUCCAUAUUUGUUUUAAAUGGAUAUGGAUACAAAUUAGAUACUGGGAGUAUAGAUACAAAUACGGAUAUAAGUCGGAUAACUAAACUUUAUAACCACAGAAUUAAAGAUAUGACCAAAUGGAUUGUAAAUCAAAUUAAUAGCAUGUUAAUUUGGUUAUAUAUUUCCUUUAAAAAGUCAUGAGCGCCAUAUAAAAUUAAAUAAGAUUAUAAAUAAUUAGAUAUUCAUAUAUGGAUCGGAUAGUUGUGUAUCCAUAUUCAUAUAUAUUUUUCUUUGACAGAUAUGGAUAUGAAUACGGAUCUUAAUCGGAUGUUCUAAUUUCUAUCAAUAUUCUAAUAGAUUCAGAUAUGAAAAUGGAUCGGAACGGAUAUUAUCCAAUCUAUUUUCACUCCCAUGAAAAAUCAUCCAUAAUGAACACAACAUAGAUAUUACUUAGAAAUUAAAAAAAAUCGUACAUAUGAUAUUAUUCCAAAUGAGACUUAAAACAUGUUUAGGACUAGUUUAGGUGAGUUUUGAUAAAAAAUAACUGAAAGUGGACCAAAAUUGAUCAAUUUUGGAUGAAAAUGAUUGAACAUAUGGAAAAUAUUUUGGUGUCAGUUGUCUUGAUUUUGGCUAAAACCAUCAUACCGGUCCGUUCAUUUUUUACCGAAACUUCGAACUUGUUUCCAUGCAAGUAACGGUCUUUCACAACUUGAAAAAUCCAAAUAUUUUAACUAAUGAUUAAUCUUUUCGAAGAAACUACAAGUGAUAAAGCAUGAGUACUAGAUUUUGAAGCAUGAUAUGAAUGCAAGAUACAAAUACAACAUGAUACAGAUACCAUGAUGAUGCGGCACCAAAAACACAAAAAAGCAAGGGAAAUAAAAUAAAAGGACAACAAGGAAAUCAAGAGAAAAAAAUCAACACUUUAGGAUUUUCAAUGUCAUUCAAAGCUGCUCCCUUAAUACGAUAGGCUUCUUUAAAUAGAUAAAAACAAAAUGAAAAUGAAAUCACAUCUUAAUGAAAGUGAAAAUCAUAUCUUUUAAAAUGGAAAUAAGAUAAAAUUGCUCAAAUAAAAUGAAAAUGAAACCAUAUCCUAAUAAAAAUGAAAACCGUAUCUCUCAAAAUGAAAACAAGAUAAAAUCUCUCAAUUACAUUAUUCAAAAUUCUACAAUUCCUAAAUUAUGACAUCUCCGUCUAUAAUAAGUGCAGAAUUUCUGAUUCUCAUCAUUUUCUUCUGGCUGGAAAGCUUGCUUUUGACAAGGAAUUAUAGUAGGCCUUUAGGAGAUUUGGAUCAAUGCAGUGUAACUCAUCUUUGUGAACCUAAGUAGCAUUUGAAUCAGGCCGGUCCUAUCAGUUAACCAAGAAUCGUUGAAAUCCACCAUGAGUAGAAACAAUCUCGUCAGUGAUAAUGCGCUCAAUGCGGUCCGAUGACGACGACGAAAGUGGAGGAAGAACUGGAAUUGUUAUUGAAGAUGAAAUAGUGCAACCAGUAGGAAAAUCUGCAUGCAUAGUAGGAGGCUCAAAUGUAUCCCGAUAAGGAAACAAGUCCGUAAUAUUGAAAACUGGACAAACUUUCAAGUCAAAAGGUAACUCUAAAUAAUAAGCAUUAGGUCCAAGUUUAUGAAAGAUGCGAAAGGCACCAGUAGCUCGAGUAUGUAUUUCUUGAACGAAUACUUGGGAUAAUAUUCUUGAUGGAUUCGAGCCAUCACAUAAUCACCCUCAUUAAACUCUACAUUCCUACGGUGAGCAUUAGCAGCAAUUUAUAUUUUUUGAUGCUCAUAGCAAUUUUUCGCUGAAUAUCGGCAUGAACAAGGAUUCAGAUCCCAGUAGGACGUUCCGCGGGACAUCGGGACAGAAUACCAUUCCAUGUGUCUGGACAAGGCCGUCCCAUUAGCAUCCCAACAUCUCAAAUAAGAUGUCUUGGGAUAUCUUUGUCCCAAGUGUUGGGAUGGGGCAGGAUGGCGGCGUGUCUCAUUCCAUGAAAAAAUCGAGAAAGCCCCAUCCCAUAGGAUUUAAAAUCUUGGGCAUAAAUGUGAUGAAUAUGUUGAGUAAAAGAGGUGGCCAGCUUAAAAAUGCUAUUAUCCAUAGCUGAGGGAAUAAGAUCAAUGGGUUGAUGAGGAGUAAGACCAUGAAUAAUUUCAAUAGGACUCUUGCCAGUAGAUUGAUUUGCUGAGCUAUUAUAGGCAAUUUCCAUCGUAGGCAAGGACAAAUCCCAUAUACCAGGCUAUCGCCAACUAGACAUCUAAGCAAAUUACCAAGGCUAUGGUUUACAAUCUCUGUUUGACCAUCUGUUUGAGAAUGAAAGGAUGAGGAAAACUUUAAAUUGGUUCCAAACAAUUUCCAAAGGGUCUUCUAGAAAUAACUCAUAAAUUUGACAUCACAGUUAGACACUAUGGAAGAAGGCAAACCAUGAAGUCGAAUGACCUUCCUAAAGAACACUUUAGCAACAAAAGAGGCCUUAGAAGUCUUAUGGCAAGGAAUGAAGUAUGCCAUUUUGGAAAAUCUAUCAACAACAAUUAGGAUUGAGUCAUGCCCCCUAAUGGUCCUAGGUAAUCCAAGAAUGAAAUCCAUGCUAAGGUCUUUCCACGAGGAGUGUGGGAUAGGAAGAGGGGUAUACAAAUUGGUGUUUUGCUUUUGGACCUUAGCCAAUUGGCAUGUGCGACAUUGUGCAAGGAUUCUAGCCACAUCUCUUUUAAAGGAUGGCCAAUAGAAUUUAUCUUCGACCAAAGCUAUGGUCUUGUUGCACCUAAAGUGCCCAGCUAGGCCCUUGCAUGAAGCUGCCAAAUGAGAAAAUUCCAUAAAGAUGUCCUAGGUAUGCAUAGGCGACGACCGCUAAAUAGGUAACUAUCCCUGAUCACAGAAUCAAUAUAUUUCCGACGAUUUUCUAUACUAACCUCUUGAAAAAUGAGAGCAAAAUCAGGACAAUUUGGAUAGUCAUCCUUCAUUUGCUCAAAACCAAUUAUCUUGGUACUUAUGGACUAGAGGACAAUAACUACCCUACAUAGUGCAUCAGUAGCCUUAUUCUUCACACCAGCUUUGUGUUUGAGAACAAAGGUAUAGUCCUGGAGAAACUCUACCUAUAUGGCAUGCCUAGUGCUAAGUUUUUUCUGAGACUGGAUGUACCUAGGGGACAAAUGAUCAGAAUAUAAGAUAAACUCCUAGGAUAGAAGAUAAUAUGACCAAAACCUAAGAGCCUGAACAACAGCAUAAAACUCUUUAUCAUAUGUGGAAUACCUUUGCUUAGCAUCAUUGAAUUUUUUGCUGAAGUAGGCUAUAGGAUGACCCUCCUGGCUAAGGACACCACACCAAUUUUGAUGCCAGAUAUGUCAUAGACAAUCUCAAAAGCUUUAGAGAAGUCAUGAUGGAUCCACACAGGUGCCUCAGACAUCUUGAGUUUUAUAUCACCGAAAGCUCUUGCGGCAGUAGCAGGCCAAUGAAACUCCCCUUUCUGCAUACAAUUUGUAAUGGGAGCCAUGAUGGUGCUAAAUGCCCUAAUAAAACAUCUACAGAAAGAGGCUAGACCAUGAAAGCUACGAACCUCAGAAAAAGAUGUUAGUUUAGGCCAUUCUCUAAUGGCCUUUACCUUCUCGGGAUCAGCCAUGAUAUAUUGAGAAAAUACAACAUAUCCUAAGAACAACACUUGGUCCUGAAGGAAGGAAUACUUUUUAAUAUUAACAUACAAUUUGACAGACCUGAGAGUGAGGAAAACCUUUCUAAGGUGAACUAAGUGCUCUUCUCUAGAGCUACUAUAAACCAGGAUAUCAUCAAAGUAGACGACUAAGAAUUUACCAAUGAAGGGUCUCAACAACUUUGUCAUAAAUCUCAUAAAUGUACUAGAAGCAUUGAACAACCCAAAGGGCAUGACUAACCAUUCACAAAAACCAUCCUGGGUCUUAAAGGCAGUUUUUCACUCAUCCUCAGGCCGAAUCCUAAUUUGGUGAUGCCCAUUAUGCAAAUCAAAUUUGGAAUAGACUAUAGAGCUAGCUAAUUGGUCAAGCAUGCCUCAAGCCUAGGAAUGGGAAACCUAUAUUUGACAGUGAUCCUAUUGAUAGCUCUACUAUCUACAUGCAUUCUCCAUGUACGAUCUUUCUUAGAGGUCAAAAGGGUUGGUACAGCAUAAGGAUUGAGACUAGGUCAAAUGUGACCUUUCAACAACAAGCCAUCUAUUUGCUUUCUCAUCUCCUCGUGCUCCUUAGGGUUCAACCUAUAGUGUGGAAGAUUAAGUAUCUGGGAUCUUGGAACUAAGUCAAUGGCAUGUUGGAUGUCACGCAUGGGAGGUAAACUAUCUAGUAUGUCCUCUGAGUUCACAUCCUUAAACUCCUCCAUCAACUGCUCAAUCUCAGGAGGUGGGUUAUCUUGGGAGUUAGAGGUCAAGUAGAUCUUACUCCUAGGGAUGACAGCUAAUAUCACUCCAAACUUCCAACUCUCUUUUUCAAAUUUCCUAUGAGUCAAAAUGUGAUAGUUUUUCUAACUAAGGGUUGAAAAGAACUCUUAUCCUUUUUUGCAGGUUGAAACUCACUAGGCUUUGCAGGGUUUAACCUAAUUUUUUUAUCGUUAUGCAUGAAAAUAUAAGUAAUCUCCCUACCAAAGUUAUGAGCAUCCACAUCAUAAAUCCAAGAUCGAUCUAACAAGACACUAGUGACCUCCAUGGAUAACAUAUCACAUAUAAUCUCAGUAGAGUAACCUCCCAUCUGAAUUGGCACUAGACAACACUCACUAAUACGAACUGAAAUUUUUAUCUACCUAGAUAACUCUAUAAGGAUGAAGAUGAGGCUGAGACUUCAGUUUCAAUCUACUAAUGGAAGAUUUAGUAUGAGACUUCAGCAACAUUCAUAGAGCUACCCCCAUCGAUGACAAGCUUGCAAACCUUAUCUCCACAUUGGGUAUAAGUAUGAAAAAUGCUGGUGCAUUUCCAUGCCUCAGUCUGCAGGAGUGGUGAUGAUACAUCUUAUGAUAUUAACACAUCCUCCUAAAUCCUCACAAUUCUCCUCAUACUCUUCCUUUGAAGUAGCUGCUCUAGAGGAUUAAAGUCUUCUAUGGGGCCAUCAUAUAAAGUUUCCUCACAUUCAAUUCUCAUGGCCAAUGUAUGAUGUGGACAUUGAGCAGCUAUAUGGCCCUUAUUAUUACAAUAAUGGUACUUUAUAUUUGAAGAACUAACUGAAUGAGAUGCCAUUGGGGUAGAGUCUCGGAUCCCAAUGACUGUGGAUUGCUGAUUAGCAAUCAUACUCGAAAUAGGAUCAUGACUCGUACAAGAAGGCAAUAGCUGUUAAACAUCCUUAGUACGAUUGACAAGGACAGACCUAGAUUGUCUAGACUCAUUGGGGAAGGAAACUCCUUUUCUUUGGGGGAGAAAUCCUAUAAAACUUCUUAAUCUUUAAGGCUUUGUGGUAGGCAUUCUUUACAGAUUUAGGAGAAUACAAAGAAACCUCCCUCUUCAAGUCGACUCUUAGACUACUAGCAAACUUAGAUAUCAGCUUCCAUGAUUCUUUAGAAAUAUAACACCUCAAUUGUACAUCCUCAAAACAAGCCACAUAGUCAGUGACACUAGUGAUUCCUUGUCUGAGAGUAUACCAUUGGUCCAAUAACUAACUCCUGUAGUAAGUGGGAAUAUACUUCUCACAAAGCUUAGACUUCAUCUCCUCCUAAAGGACUAUAAGUGGAUGUCCUACUUGCUCUAGAUCUCUUUGGAUUGUCUGCCAAUACUGCUUGGUAGACCCCAUAAACUUCAUUUUAGCAAAGCAGACAUGAGAUAUAUUUGACAUGUGGUACUACUCAAAAUAAGCCUCUAGGUCCUGUAACCAAUCAUGGAAUGCAUCUAGAUCUAACCUGCCACCCUAGGAAGCAACAUCAAUCUUAAUCCCUUUAGGUGAUUCCUCAAACUCCUCACAUCUAGACGGAUACGACCUAAGUUGUUGACCUGGGGGUCUGAAGUGCUUAGGGCCUCGAGCAUACUUAGUAGGUUGCUCAUGAUGUCUAGAUGGGGAAAUAGGUGGUUCCACUUCUCCCUCGUAGUCAUCUCCGUAAUACUUAUAAUCCCUAGCUUCUGUUAUAUAAUCUAGAGGAAUCCUAUGAUUAUGACUUUGAAAAUUGUUUACGAAAUGAUGGGUAAUUGGAGGGACUGACAUGUAGAUUGGAGGUGCCUGAAGGGACUGCUUAGUCUGCAAGAUAUGACUCGGACCACCAGUUGGCUUAAGAGUCUGGGAAGGAAGCUGAUAAAUGGGUUGACUACUAGUAUGAUCAUUCUCUAAAGGUUGUUUAUCCAGUCUUGACUCUCUCAGGGAUAAUAGAUGUUCGACCUGCUGAUCGUUGAGAUUAGCCAUGUCGACACGAUGAUUAACCUGAUUAGUACGAAGCUCAAUAAGAUCAAUUUGAAGUCGGUCUAAUGACCGGCACUUUUGGUUUAAAGUCUCUUGGAAUGCAGUUUGGAUAUUUUUAACAGAUUCAAGCUUUUUUUCCAUAGCAGAAUAAACAUCUUUCAAAUUGCCAAUGGUCAUGGUAGCAAGGAAGGGCAAGGAUAAAAGUGAUAUUAGACUAAAAUGUUGUAAUCACAGAGAAAUUCAACUCAAUCCUCACAAUGAAAAAUGUAAAGUCAAAUGCAGUGCCUAUAUUUUUUUGGUGCGUGCAAUAUCAAAGAGGUAAUGUGAUAUAAUCGAGCUACUAAAGAUAAAUAUGAACAAAAUAAGGCCAACCCAAUAAUUCGGGUUCCUUUUUUUGUUUAGGGAAGUAUGAAAUAAAGUGGUUUAGGGCAGUAUGAAAAAUAAAAGAGAGGACCUAAGCCAACCAUAGAAGCUACCCAACAAUUUGAAGAAGUCACAAGGUUCAAUGAAGGAAUCGUACCUUACACAAAGAUGAGAUCAAUUACCUUAAAGCAAUUUGCACAGUGCGCAGAAAGUGAUUUGAUAGUACUCUGAUACCAAUUGAUGUGGCACCAAAAACACAAGAAAGCAAAUAGGAAAGAGAUAAAAUGAAAGGAAAACAAGGAAAUCAAGAGAAAAAAAAUCAACACACUUUUGGGUUUUCAAUGUCAUUCAAAGCUACCCGCUCAAUAUAAUAGGAGUCUUUAAAUAGACAAAAAUAAAAUGCAAACGAAAUCACAUCCUAAUGAAAAUGAAAAUCAUAUCUCUCAAAAUAGAAACAAGAUAAAAUCUCUCAAAUAAAAUGGAAAUGAAACCACAUCCUAAUAAAAAUGGAAAUUAUAUCUCUCAAAAUGGAAACAAGACAAGAUCUCUCACAAAUCCCUUCAAACAUUAUUCAAAAUCCUACGAUUCCUAAAUUACGAUGUCUCUGCCUAAAAUAAGUGCGGAAUUCCCGAUUCUCAUCACAUGAUGCAAAGAAUAUUGAAAAAGUAAGAUACGAUAUGAUGAGGAUAGAAUAAAUAAAUAAUUAUAUAAUUUUUACUAUAUGUAAAGAAAAGCUUUCAUAGCAUAUCUUAUACAAUAGAUCAACAUCAACAAACUCCAUCAUUUAGUCGUACUCUAUUUACAUUGUCUUAGGAAUAGACAUCAAUUUUGAUAUGUCCAAGCAUCCAACCCUUUCCUUCUUUAUGUAUUUCUCCUUGUUUAACCAUGUCCAAGUGUUGUUCCUUACUGUUUUGAAGUGUCAGGUCAAGCACUUUGUUGUAAAUCAAAAGGUCCUAGCCACAUAGAUCAUGGUUACAAUCCAUAUACUACACUCCACACUCCAUCUACUAAGAUCAACAUCACACACUUUAAAAUUAACCAUCCAUCGUUAAAAGGUCAACAUUCAUCAAAAAUGAAAAAGGAGGAAAGAAAAAGGAAAGAAAACCCUCUCUCUUAUAUCCAAACAUAUCAAUGAAGUAUUCCAGUUGUUACUGGGAAGUAUCAUGAGAACUUUCUUAAUUUUGAAAAGUAGGGCACUAAAUAGAAGUAUCUAAGAUGUAUCCUAAAAGAACUCAACAAGUAUCUGUCAUUGAUAUGUACUGGAUGCAGACACACAUCAUUUUAAAUUAUCUGUGCUUCCUAGUUUUUGGAUUCCCAUUGUGUUUUUUCUAUCUGAUCCAAGGAAACUAGAAAGAAAAUUUCCAACUUUAGGGUUAAAAGGAAUGCCAGAUAAAUUUUGCAUUUUUUUUGAGUGAUCCAAAUCCCUCCCUUAUCUGUAACUCUGCUACUAAUUCACUUUGCAGCUCUCCCGCUGGACCCCUCAAUCACUGGCCUGCAGUUGCAAUGAUUUAUUAUGGGACCUUAUUCCAUGUUUUUGCUUGCUUUUUACUGUUCCAGUUUCUGUGCUGAAUCCGGUCAGCCUCCAGCAGGCAUGGGUGGUUUCAAGUCAAGUUUGAUAUGUAGCAUGAGUUUUCCAGUACUGACAGCGGAUCUGCUUAAGAAAAUCAUCCAGUGUACUAUUUGUUACAUAUUUUUUUUUGAGUAUAGCUUUUACUUUUACACGGGCAAACAAUAUUUGGUAGGUUUAACAGCCAUAGUAAGAUUACCUAUAGAAAGGUAAAGAAGAUGCACAUACAAAGAUCUAAAUAUUGGAUUUGUUGUUAGACUGGAUCCAUCUUCUAACUGCAUUAAUUCUGUAUUUAUUGCUCAAAUACAAUAGCUUUUCAUGGAGAGGGGAAUGGAUGUGUAUGGGUGGGUGGGGGAACAAGUUUUUCCUUCGAUUAUAGUUUUAAGUUAUAUAUUAUGUUUUUCCCUAUAAAGGUUGAUGCUUCCUAUUUUCCCGUCUGAUUGCUUUGGAACUCUAAAAAGGCUACUUGAUAAUGUCUUAAUAUUUUUGUACCCAUCAUUUUAAUAGGUCGAAGGUAUGAACAAACCAUGUCCUGGAUCGCGAGAUAAAAGUUCACCAAAAGAUGUCAUCUGGAAAACAGUGCCUCAUCGGUUAUUCUUUGCAAGAUCUCACACCCGGACAUGGGGCAAAGGAGGUGUUGCUUUUCUUCAUCCUGAAAGCAACAAGAAUGAGAAAGCCUACAUGUGCAUGUAUAGAAUAACGUAAUAUUCUCUGAACUGUGAUAUAUUUUGUAGUUCAUGUUGAAGCAGGCCAUACAAAGUUGAUUUAACUGUUUAUAUUGAAUGCCUCACGCUUUUGUUCUGCUUUGACAAGCUAUAUACAGGCUUGAGCAGUUCAAUGAUGUAUUAUUUCAAGAGAAUAGUUUACAUCAAGAGAAUGGCAAAAGUCAUGGUGCAAGAGUGCCUUUACUGGAUUUAUCUGAGAUCGGUGUUGUUGCUGGAAAUAAGUCAUUGCCUCUAGAGGCUCUUAAGGUACUGUCUUUCCUCUGUAAUGCUAUAAAAACCACUGUAUUGUGGAUUUCUAUUUGAAUUACUUGACAUGACCUCUCUCUUUAUGUGUGCACAGUAUGCAUGGUUCUCUUGGUACAUUCCGUGUACCGAUAGCUUAAUUGUUUCCACUGGAUAUCUGACCAUUACUGGGAUUUCCUGCAGGCUGGAUGGUAUUCCAAUGUCCUUUAUUUGGGGAAGGAGGAUAACCUUCCAAUCUUCACUAUGACGUAUGCCUUUCUUACUCUGUAUUUUAAAUUUUUCUUGUUUUUGUUGAGCUGUUAUGAGGCCCCUGGAUUUCCAACCUAAAUCAUAAAUCUUAUGUACUGCAAACGUUUAUAUUGAGGCAGUUUUUUUCCUUGUAGUCCUGUUGUGAGGCAGUUUAUGUGAUUACAUCUUGCUGUCUGUCCUGUAUGAACUCUUUACUGCUUUCACUAUUUAUCUAUGUCAUCAAUUUCUCAAACUUGGGAAAAAGGCAUUGCAUUGUUCAAGUCACAAUGGAUUAGAAAAUUUUAUCAAAACCAAAUAUCCAGAAUUUGUUUUCUGAGAAAAAAAAUAGGCUUGCAAUCAAGUCGUUCUGAAUGUUUGGUUUUUUUGUUAACCUACUAAUUUGCAAAUACGGACUCCUCAUAUCUUGUCAAGAAUUCUCUCUGUUAGUUCUAUUCUUUAUCCACUGAAGGACCCCUUAUAAUAGUUUGAGAUAUUGCUAGGGUUUCUUUAUUUGGUCUAAAUCAAGGCAUGCCUUACUGCAUAACUUCCAUGAAAUUUAGAUGUGAAUAUCCUCAAAAUGGUUCAUUAAUUGGCUGUUCAAGAAUAAAAAUUGAUGAGCUUCUUACAAGGAAACAAUUUUGUUUCUUUUGUUGAAAUUGCAACUGCCAUCAUCUCAAAAUAAUUACCAUGGGAUCUAUUACAUGGUUCAUUUCUUUGUAUGAUGAUACAAUAUAGCUGUGUUCAUCCUUUUAACUGUUACAUGUUUCCAGUAAUUUCCAUGUGUAGUUGUUGGAAUUGUGCCUUCUCAUUGACAUUGUUUAGUGAUUCUCAAUAUGUUGCUUUUUUUAAUUUAGUUAACGACCUGCAUUUUUCCAGUAAUUUCCAAUCCCUAACGGUGGGUAUUUUCGGUACUUCUCAAUAUACUUCUUUUUCCAAUUCAAUUAUUGAAGUGUUUCCCCACAUAUCUGAUAUGUUUUCUUGUUGCUUUUUAUAAUUCACUUAAUGAAGUGCUUUCCCACAUUUCUGAUACAUGUUUAACUUUCAACCACACAGGUGCUUAUUUUCAGAGAUCGAGCAAUUUAAAUCUGGUGAAUUACCUGUAACCGGCCCUUCUAACAAUUACAUGAAUGCAUUAGUGAGAGGGUUGGUAGAAGGAAAACAGCUUACCAGAAAGGAAGCAAUUGCUUACAUUAAUGAUGCUGCUGGCAGAGGGUUAUGAGUACUUGGGCCCCACAUUUAUAGCAUAGCAAGUUGUGUAGGAACGAUGAUUAACAUUGAAUAAAAAUGCAAACAGCUCAAUAUUCACUGUGUAUAGGUUGUCUUUUAGAAGUUUGCAUAUGGCCUGCACAAAGAGUGCUUGACUAGAAAACGUUUUUGGAA